AAACCAGUUGGGCAUCAGAAUCAUACUAAUGGAAAAGAUGGUCCUCGGGUUAUGCAUUCACCGCCAGGCUUUGGACAAAGAGUUGCUGAGCAAGUAUGUUCUCCUGGUGGAAACCUCAAGCGUGUUACUAGAAGUUCAAGAUCAAAGGGAGAUGCUGAUGAGAAUGAGGGCAUGCUGCCAGAUAACCUCACGGAGUCUCUAGAGCAGUUAAAAGCAGAGAAUCAUGAGCUUAAAGAAAGGUUGCGGAGGAAAGAGGAAGAGAUUUUAGGUGAUCUGUUACGUGAUUUACAGCAUGAAAGAGAGAGAUCCAAAUCACUUGAAGCUCAGCUGCAGGAGUCUACCAGAAAAUUAGAGGAACUUAACAAGGAGCAAGAAAGUUUAAUAGACAUAUUCACGGAGGAGAGACAACGCCGCGAUAUGGAGGAGGAGAACUUAAGAAAGAAGUUGAAGGAUGCAUCAAAUACUGUACAAGAGCUUCUUGACAAGGUGCAGGUUCUGGAGAAGACAAGGUCUGCCAAUUAUAGGUAGUUUAAAUCGUGUAGAGAACUCAGAGUCUCUCUUGGUUGUCCAUGCUGUACAUAUUAUGAGUGGUCCAUUGCACCAAAAUUCGUAGGAACAUCACUUUGGUGCAGUGGUUUUAACCUAAUUGUGCUUCCACUGCUAUUGAGCUUCGGGCACACAUGCAUUGCUCAUUUCUUCUCCAAGUUUCGGUUGUCUUGUCUAGUAGGGUGGUUUAUAGUGAACCUCGAUUCCCUAUUGUCUUUAGAACGUGAAGCCUCUCAUCUUCUUAGCUUUGAAGUGUGCUGGAAUUGACAUUUUUUGUUGCCUUACAAGUUGUUAGGAGAAAUAUCAAUGCAGAAUUUUUUCCCAGGAUGGUGUGCCACUGUAUUGUAAAUAUUUUAGAAAAUGGCCAGACUUAUUAGAUCGGA
RNAcentral lists this unclassified non-coding RNA (929 nucleotides) under Hevea brasiliensis (rubber tree). The record is from RNAcentral. Lineage: Eukaryota; Viridiplantae; Streptophyta; Magnoliopsida; Malpighiales; Euphorbiaceae.